Long non-coding RNA from Bubalus bubalis (water buffalo), 851 nucleotides. RefSeq lists it as uncharacterized. NCBI's taxonomy places the organism in Eukaryota, Metazoa, Chordata, Mammalia, Artiodactyla, Bovidae. The record is from RefSeq and is a predicted model, not a curated record. The transcript is spliced from 2 exons.
UUUAAAUCACCGCAGAGCAUUAGAGUUCCCUGUGCUAACAAAUGAGUAGGUUCUCAUUAGUUAUCAUACACAGUGUGUGUGUGUCUUUUAAGAGCUUCUUACUCAAAUGUUUUUAAUGUAGACUAUAAAUCUGAAGCAUUUGGGUUUUUGGUUUCCAGCCAAACAAGAAUUACACAUGAGAUGGUUGGUGGGGUGGUGGUGGUGGGGGGGGGGUUGGAGCAGUCUCGGCCAGGUAAAACCCACCUCCUGUACCCCUUUUCUGAGUUGGCCUGGGCACCAGAAAAGCACAAAGGAAUGCCUACAUCCAGGGUUUGGGGAGCGCCACCAAAAUCGAAUAAAAAGCCUUUGUUUGGAAACCAUCAAUGAACGAAGGAACCCACUGGAAUGUUUGUAAUUACAAGUGGCACCUCCUUGUUUAAAUUUCAGAAGCCACAGUUUCUUUUUCAGAUAUUUAAAUUGCAGGUUCUAGCCAGCAGCUGCUGUCGUGGUUAAUGGGCACUUUCUCUUUGAAGAUCUUCCAGUGCUGGUUCUCAAAAGCUUUGGAGCAGUUGGCCUUGAACUAGGGUUAGAAGAAAGGGAGAUGGAGGUAUUUAUAUACAUGCACAGCAAAAGUGACAUGUGGCCUUUAUUAUUACUCAAAAGAGGAACUUGACGCCCAACCCUGAUGAGACUGGAAGACUGGUGAUUCUCCAGUGAAACUGAGGAAGAAAGUGGUUCCACUGAUCAGCCUUCAGCUGGUUGCCUUUGCAUAAAUCUGCUCUAUUCAGUUUUUCUCUUAACUCUUUUGGAUUAUAAUUGUAGGACGGCUGAAUCCCCAUGCCCACCUUGAGAAUAAAUCUCUUUCCUUUGCA